AACGAACGCUGGCGGCAGGCCUAACACAUGCAAGUCGAGCGAGACCUUCGGGUCUAGCGGCGGACGGGUGAGUAACGCGUGGGAACGUGCCCUUUGGUACGGAAUAGCCCCGGGAAACUGGGAGUAAUACCGUAUAAGCUCUUCGGAGGAAAGCUAUAUGCGCUAGGGGAGAGAUUUGCGUCCUAUUAGCUAGUUGGUGAGGUAAUGGCUCACCAAGGCGACGAUAGGUAGCCGGCCUGAGAGGGUGAACGGCCACAAGGGGACUGAGACACGGCCCUUACUCCUACGGGAGGCAGCAGUGGGGAAUAUUGGACAAUGGACCAAAAGUCUGAUCCAGCAAUUCUGUGUGCUUGAUGAAGGCCUUCGGGUUGUAAAGAGCUUUAAGUAGGGAAGAAGAAAGUGACGGUACCUACAGAAUAAGCGACGGCUAAAUACGUG
Molecule: ribosomal RNA, 438 nt
Filed under: uncultured bacterium
Lineage: Bacteria
Description: bacterial SSU rRNA
Rfam family: Bacterial small subunit ribosomal RNA
Source: RNAcentral